AUGGACAGAGCAAAAAGUGGAGUGUUGGUCAAAGCAAGCCGCUCUAUUCUAUUACCAGACAAAAUGGAGAGAAGCUCAUCCGCUAGAAAUGCUUUAUUUCGUUUCGUUCCCAUUCUUCAUUUCCUUAUUAUUGAAUACAUGGGGGACUUGUCAUAUUUAGAAUCUUUCUGCUGUCUACUAUGUUUACAAUUCUUUCGUACUCUCUUCUCUUUACCAUGCGAUAGGUCAGCGAAGCGUGAACGGGAGCUCCAAAGUAAAGGCCAAACACUUUGGCCUAAGGGGAAUGAGCAAAAAAAUGACAAGAUGAGGUGCCCCGGGCACCCCCUUAUAGUAAGAAGGGUCAAAUGUGUUGAGCCUGUAGCUCCCCCUCCCUCGUUGAGUGGUGCUUGUUUGGGGGGGGGUGUGCUACCAGAAAGCGGGCUUGAAGCUCUUGCCUUACCAACGAGCUGACUGCUAAUGGCUGUUGGUCAUGACUACUAGAAAAAAGUGAAGAUGAAUCUUUCUAUUUCACAUGGAGGAGUGUGCAUCUUUAUGUCGGGUGUUCUUCUAUCGUGCAACCCAAUGGCUUAUAUGUGA
This 576-nucleotide ribosomal RNA is filed under the name Triticum aestivum (bread wheat). RNAcentral describes it as "partial small subunit ribosomal RNA". Lineage: Eukaryota; Viridiplantae; Streptophyta; Magnoliopsida; Poales; Poaceae. The record is from RNAcentral.